Bufo bufo (common toad) is the source of this 282-nucleotide long non-coding RNA. RefSeq lists it as uncharacterized. The transcript has 3 exons. NCBI's taxonomy places the organism in Eukaryota, Metazoa, Chordata, Amphibia, Anura, Bufonidae. The record is from RefSeq and is a predicted model, not a curated record.
CUAGUUUCCACCUCUCCCAUACGUGUAGUGUCCAGCGGUGGAGGUGGAGGAUGCGCUCAGUGGACAUCUUCUAUAUAAGAUCUUUCUCCUGACUGACCCGUCAAGGAUGGAUAGGGACAGGAACAAGAUGGCGGACAGUAUAAUAAAUCUCACUGUAGAGAUCCUCUUCUGGCUUACUGGAGAGGACUACACAGUAGUUAAGAAGACCUCUAGUGAGCGCUGCCAGGACCCUGUGUCUGAAGGAUGGGGAAGAACACUAAGCCCAAUCAUGGGACCUCCACC